RNAcentral lists this transfer RNA (85 nucleotides) under Trichoderma reesei RUT C-30. Its description in RNAcentral is "tRNA-Gly". The record is from RNAcentral. Lineage: Eukaryota; Fungi; Ascomycota; Sordariomycetes; Hypocreales; Hypocreaceae.
GCGUCAUUGGUCUAGGGGUUAGGAUUCAACUCUUCCAUCUCACCGGUGAAAAGUUGAGGCCCGGAUUCGAGUUCCGGAUGACGCA